AACACACCAGACUGCGUGACCAGAGCCAAUGGGUAUGCCCGAUCAUGUGUUCUGAGGACACUGUGAUGUAUACGAGUUAAAGAUGAACUCCUGUCGGAUUUGUUAAUGGCUGUUUGAUGAUCAUACAAAGACAGUUAAAGGCAACGAAAAGGAAUGCAAGGGAAUAAAUGCUGCCAGUGAGAUAAAAAAUAACAGUUUAAAAGUUGAAUCGGAAUAAUAUAUCUACAUUGAGUGUAGAAAGAUGUACUUUAACCCACAUUACACUAAAAGAGACACUAAGACAGAAAAAGUAAACACUGAUGCCACCAUUAACACCAUUGAGAUCAAUGACUGAUAAGUUUUCAUACAAAAAAGAUUGUUUAUAUUGUGGUCAAUCUGUAAUAAGUAAGGGUAAAACAAGGAAGUGUGAUGUUUUGCCAGUAAAUACACUAGAACCUACUAUAUACAGAGGAAUGACUGUUUGUCUGAUACAGUGAGAGCAAGGAUAGAACAGGUUCACAACUUGCUUGUAGCCGAUGCUCUUUACCAUCAAACAUGUUUAUGCUCCUCUAAUUUCAGAACUGGAAAAGAUAUACCAGAAGAAUUUCAGGUGCUACCAUCUAGUGAUAAAAA
This is a long non-coding RNA of Ruditapes philippinarum (Manila clam), 612 nucleotides long. RefSeq lists it as uncharacterized. The record is from RefSeq and is a predicted model, not a curated record. Lineage: Eukaryota; Metazoa; Mollusca; Bivalvia; Venerida; Veneridae. The transcript is spliced from 2 exons.